AUGACAGCAAAUAAGUCUCCAAAAGGGUCUGAAAAACUAACACCCCUGAAAGCCUCAGGUUCAAAACAAAAGAAAAAACAAGACUCCGAUGUCUCCCCCAAGAAAAACCCAACCUUAGACAAUUUCCUGUUCAGAAAACGAGCAGGAGAUGAUACAGAAACUAACGUGAGAGACCAAGGUGCGAGCUCAUCAGUAGCGUCUUCUCCGAAGAAACCAAAGCUAGACUUUGAUGCACAAGGGAGAAAAGAUAAAUACUUGGUGGAUGUUUUUGCGGGCGUCAAAAUGGAACUUCCGAAGAGAGAUAUUGCCGAUUACGAAACCUUGUAUAGGUACUUCGUUGCUUAUGGAGGUGUAGUUUUACACCCGAGCACGGCGAAAGAGGAUCGCACACACGUUCUGUCGACGCCGUCAACUAAGGCGAAAGGCUUGUCAGUGCCCCUUGUCCAAGUUUCUUGGCUUUGGGACAGCAUAAAAUUGCAAAAACUUCAAGAUCCUGUCAAUUACCUGGUUUACUGAGGUUCCAUUUUAGCGGAGAAGGAGAAAGAAUCGUGAGUUAAAAGGUAAAUAUCCACCCUUUUUCUUCUCUACUAUCGGAAGUGUAAGAACAAUAAAAAAUCGAGUAUUUACUGCGGAAAAUAUUCUGAAAAGUACUAUAAUCCUCACUCAGGGAUCUCAAUCCUUGCGUAAUACGUUCAAAUUAUCGUAACCGACCACUGGACAUGGUAAGAACAGGUGCAUUUUAGAUGUGUUUCUUUAGCACAAAUUCAACAGAAUACGUUAAAAUCGUCCCGAAAUUUCACUCUUGAGUUCUGAAUGCUACGUACAUAUAAACGUGGCUACAUUUUUCAAGAAAAUGUUGAUUGGAAUUGGUUCCAGAGUGUCUACCGGUCCCCUAAAGUCCCCAAUGUCCCCGAUUAUCCACGAUUUUGGAAGGGUGUCCCUGAUAUCCCCGAAAGUCUCGAAUUUUCUUACUCAGGUCCCCUAAAAAUGACAAAAAUCGUCCUAAACGCCGGCAUUUUCAAAUUUUCCCGCCGGCCGCGGCGGCGCGGUAUGACCAGGGAUAAAAAAACUGAAGUAUUGUUUGGUUUUUCGUCGGUUCACCAUGACUUGUAAAAUUAGUCUUAUAAAAUACGCCUUUUAACGCGUUAGCUUGCUCCCUUUCUCUUUCUCUUCCGGUAAAAACUAGAGUACCUGUAUAGCGAGAGUAUGGACAGCUCUGUAACUCCGAAAAUCCAUCAGGCCUUCACCGAUGCCUCCGCGAAUAAAGUUAGGGCCCAGAAAUGCAGCCUACCUAUGAAUUUCAAUUAUCCAGAGCGCUUUACUAAUACAAUUGUUACGAACCAUCGUUUAUUAAGCAAGUAUGUGACUUAGUUUUUGCAUAAAUUUACUCAUUUUUGCGGAAGAACGCUCAUUUAUGUACAUUCUUAGCCAUCUUGGUCAGAAUUGGAAUCUGCAGACUGGCAGUGAAAUUUUGUGCGUUAGAAGUUGGUUAGAAGGGUGGCUGCACUUUUGGGCCCUAAGCCCUCCAUGAAGCGAGCUGUCCAUACUCUCGCUAUACAGGUACUCUAGUAAAAACAGUCCCCAAUUUUCUUGAAAAAAACCCCCUAAAAGUGGGGACUUUUCCCUCCCUUGGGGACUUUGGUCCCCUAUUUCGGUUUUUAUAAUUGGUAGCCAUCCUGGGUACGGAGUGGUCGCCGAUUGUUUGUGAGUAAUAGGAGGUUGACGCCAACCUGGCUAAAUUUUCAAAGGAGAGGGGAGAGGGGAUCUAAGACUCGGCAAAAAAUCUUGAUGGAGAUCGGGGAGCACUGAGCGCUGGAAGUCUCGAGAGGAUGGAGUGAUCGUAUCUUGAGCCCGUGCAGCGUGGCGUGGCAUCGACGGGCGUCAGUGGGCGAGCUCCCACCUGUCAACAAGUCAAAGUCGUUUGAAGAACCGCGAGAAUUGAUGAUGCCACCGCGGAAGAACGCCUCCUCCAGCGCCCCCACACCCUCGCGCCGCGGGAGAUCCAAUUCCUCCCGCGAGUGCAGUGGUUUCAUUUCGAUCAGCCGCGCUUUUCGUUUAACCGAAUUAACAUUUCCACUCAUUUUUUCCACCGCUGUUGUCGCUUCGGUAAGUCAGUCGGCUAGGGCUCCCUGUUGUCUGAAAAAUGUGUAAUCGCAUGGAGGAAAGAGCUACACGCACUGAAAAAAAAUAUCGGUGUAUUUAC
This 2203-nucleotide long non-coding RNA is filed under the name Bemisia tabaci. Its description in RNAcentral is "lncRNA ENSSSA2NGG009299". Lineage: Eukaryota; Metazoa; Arthropoda; Insecta; Hemiptera; Aleyrodidae. The record is from RNAcentral.